Molecule: ribosomal RNA, 271 nt
Filed under: uncultured archaeon
Lineage: Archaea
Description: partial 16S ribosomal RNA
Rfam family: Archaeal small subunit ribosomal RNA
Source: RNAcentral
CAGCGCCACAAGUGGCAAUCAUGUUUAUUGGGCCUAAAGCGUCCGUAGCCGGUUUGGUAAAUCUUUUGUGAAAUCGUCAGGCUUAACUUGACGGCUUGCAGAAGACACUGCCAAACUCGGGACCGGGAGGAGUCAGAAGUAUUCAAGGGGGACCGGUAAAAUGGUAUAAUCCCUUGAGGACUACCGAUGGCGAAGGCAUCUGACCAGAACGGAUCCGACGGUGAGGGACGAAAGCCAGGGGAGCAAACCGGAUUAGAUACCCGAGUAGUCC